This 440-nucleotide ribosomal RNA is filed under the name uncultured bacterium. RNAcentral describes it as "partial 16S ribosomal RNA". It matches the Rfam family "Bacterial small subunit ribosomal RNA", at positions 338 to 795 of the family's 1533-position model. The record is from RNAcentral.
CCUACGGGUGGCAGCAGUGGGGGAUAUUGCACAAUGGGGGGAACCCUGAUGCAGCGACGCCGCGUGGGUGACGAAGCGCCUCGGCGCGUAAAGCCCUGUCAGCAGGGAAGACAAUGACGGUACCUGAAGAAGCAGCCCCGGCUAACUACGUGCCAGCAGCCGCGGUAAUACGUAGGGGGCAAGCGUUAUCCGGCUUUCCUGGGUGGAAAUGGGGCGUAGACGGGGAUGCAAGUCCGGAGUGAAAGCCCGGGGCUCAACCCCGGGACUGCUCUUGGAACUGCGUGGCUGGAGUGCAGGAGGGGCAGGCGGAAUGCCUGGUGUAGCGGUGAAAUGCGUAGAUAUCAGGAGGAACACCGGUGGCGAAGGCGGCCUGCUGGACUGCAACUGACGUUGAGGCCCGAAAGCGUGGGGAGCAAACAGGAUUAGAUACCCCUGUAGUC